This is a long non-coding RNA of Atta colombica, 888 nucleotides long. RefSeq lists it as uncharacterized. The record is from RefSeq and is a predicted model, not a curated record. The transcript has 3 exons. NCBI's taxonomy places the organism in Eukaryota, Metazoa, Arthropoda, Insecta, Hymenoptera, Formicidae.
AUGAAAUUUGGAAAGAAAAUCACACAGAAGAAUGUACUGCAAAUCAUGAUGGAUCAGCUGAGAAGUUGACGCCAUAAAAGAAAUGUUCAAUCGUCAAAUGUUGGAAGUCAAGCAUGCUUAUUACAUUGGUGAUGGAGAUUCUAAAACUUUUAUAGCUCUAUUAGACAAUGAUCCUUAUGAUGAUGAUUUACAAAUGAAGGAAAAAGAAUGCGUAGGAUAUGUGGAGAAAUUAACAAUCAGAAGACAUCCAGAUUCUGUUAAUGACAUGUACAAUGCUGUGUGGCUAUAUUUUAUCACGACAUAUUAGAUCUCGACAGAGAUGAAAAUCCAUAGCAUGUAUUGCCCAGUGGGAUCAAAUAGUUGUAAAUGGCGCCGAAAGUAAUAACACUUCAUGAAUUCGAUCAUGAACUAUUUCAUGAAGAUGUUCAGCAAGCCAUAAAGCCAAUUUUCGAAGAUUUGUUAUCACGAGAAUUGUUAUAGAAAGAUAUUUGGGUGGUGAAACACAAAAUAAUAAUGAGAGUUAUAACUCUACAGUCUGGCAAUUCGCGCCUAAGCAUCUUCAUUGUGGAGCAAAAAUGAUUGAAAAAUCGCGGCUUAUUUAGCAGCCGGAAUUUUUAAUGAAGGCUUUUAUGCUAUUAUUAAAAUUAUGACAAUGAUAGAAAUUAUAGGAGAAAACGCCAAAAUAUUUUGUAACGCGCGAUAUCAACGCGACGGACUCUUGAGACUACGAAAGAAGCUCGAAUAAAAUGAAGAAACGACCAGACGGUUCUAAAUUACUUCUAUGAAGAUGAGGAAGAACUAUUAAAAGGCCCCUGGGAUAGCAGAGUAGCAAAAAUAAAAUAUUAAUAUCGUGCACAUUCAGUGGACGACGAACUUUGCGGGACGUCA